GGUGCGGACGGUCUUAUCGCUCUCCGGCCUUGGCUGGGGGGAGGAAAGUCCGGGCAACAAAGGGUGCCGAACCUCGGGAAACCGAGGGCACUUGGCGGGUGACGGCCAGGUGACAGACAGUGCAACAGAAAGCAAACCGCCCCGAACGGCCUUGGCCAGUCGGGGUAAGGGUGAAAGGGUGGGGUAAGAGCCCACCGUGUGUUUGGUAACAAGCGCAGCAUGGCAAACCUUUCGGGUUGUAAGAUCAAAUAAGCCUUGGAUUAGGUGCGGCCCGUUCCUGUUCUUUUGAAGAUGCCAAGGCGGGUAGAUCGCUUAGAUAAAUGAUAAGAGCCCCAAGCCGUUUGGCUCGGGGAACAGAACCCGGCUUAUACGUCCGCAUUUUUU
This 384-nucleotide RNase P RNA is filed under the name Cytophagales bacterium. RNAcentral's name for it is "RNase P RNA component class A". It matches the Rfam family "Bacterial RNase P class A". From Rfam's summary of the family: Ribonuclease P (RNase P) is a ubiquitous endoribonuclease, found in archaea, bacteria and eukarya as well as chloroplasts and mitochondria. Its best characterised activity is the generation of mature 5'-ends of tRNAs by cleaving the 5'-leader elements of precursor-tRNAs. Cellular RNase Ps are ribonucleoproteins. Lineage: Bacteria; Pseudomonadati; Bacteroidota; Cytophagia; Cytophagales. The record is from RNAcentral.